Molecule: ribosomal RNA, 467 nt
Filed under: uncultured bacterium
Lineage: Bacteria
Description: partial 16S ribosomal RNA
Rfam family: Bacterial small subunit ribosomal RNA
Source: RNAcentral
GAUGAACGCUGACAGAAUGCUUAACACAUGCAAGUCAACUUGAAUUUGGGUUUUUAACUUAGGUUUGGGUGGCGGACGGGUGAGUAACGCGUAAAGAACUUGCCUCACAGCUAGGGACAACAUUUGGAAACGAAUGCUAAUACCUAAUAUUAUGAUAAUAGGGCAUCCUAUAAUUAUGAAAGCUAUAAGCGCUGUGAGAGAGCUUUGCGUCCCAUUAGCUAGUUGGAGAGGUAACGGCUCACCAAGGCGAUGAUGGGUGGCCGGCCUGAGAGGGUGAUCGGCCACAAGGGGACUGAGACACGGCCCUUACUCCUACGGGAGGCAGCAGUGGGGAAUAUUGGACAAUGGACCGAGAGUCUGAUCCAGCAAUUCUGUGUGCACGAUGAAGUUUUUCGGAAUGUAAAGUGCUUUCAGUUGGGAAGAAACAGAUGACGGUACCAACAGAAGAAGUGACGGCUAAAUACGUG